CCCGGAAGCUACAGAGAUGGAGAGAGAGAGGAACAGAACAAACAACGCGCUCAUCCAUAACAUCUAAGUAUAAAUAUUGCUUAUGUUAAAUAUGAACACUUGUCUGUUUAUUUCUUUAUACCCUAACCGGUUACUGACGUAAGUGUGAAAUGUAACCAUGGUUGACAGAGGAAGAACAAUGAUUCCAAGCACCACCCUCCUUUUGAAGCUUCCAGUCUGUUAUUCGAACUCAAUCAGCAUGACAGAGUGAUCUCCAGCCUUGUCCUCAUCAACACUCACACCUGUGUUAACGAGAGAAUCACUGACAUGAUGUCAGCUGGUCCUUUUGUGGCAAUGGAAAUGUUUUUUGGGGGAGUCAGUUCAUUUGCAUGGCAAAGAGUGAUUUUGCAAUUAAUUGCAAUUCAUCUGAUCACUCUUUAUAACAUUCUGGAGUAUAUGCAAAUUGCCAUCAUACAAACUGAGGCAGCAGACUUUGUGAAAAUUAAUAUUCGUGUCAUUCUCAAAACUUUUGGCCACGACUGUACACUGCCCUCACCCACCUAGAUAAGAGUAAUAUCUAUGCGAGAAUGCUGUUCACCAAGCUGGGACUAAAACACCUCCCUCUGCAACUGGAUCCUGGACUUUCUGAUGAGCCGACCCUAGGUGGUGAGGGUAGGCAACCUCACCUCCGCCACGCUGACCCUCAACACGGGGCCUCACAGGGGUGUGUGCUUAGCCCCCUCCUGGAGACCAAGCAUGACUCCAAAACUAUUAUCAACUUUGCUGAUGACGGUGGUAGGCCUGAUCACCGGCAACGAUGAGACAGCCUAUACGGAGGAGGUCAGUGACCUGGCUGUGUGGUGCCAGAACAGCAACCUCUUCUUCAAUGUCAGACCAAGGAGCUGAUCGUGGACUACAGGAAUGGCGGGGCGAGCAUGCCCCAUCCACAUCAACGGGUCUGCAGUGGAGCAGGUCGAGAGCUUCAAGUUCCUUUGUCUAAAUCGCUAAAAACUUAAAAUGGUCCACUCACACUCGCACAGUAGUACAAACCCACUCACAUACAACCACCAUAUAUGCCGCUGCUACUAUAUAUAUAUCCUGAUGCUGGUUAUAUAUCCUGAUGCUGUUUAUUAUAUAUCCUGAUUCUGGUUAUUAUAUAUCCUGAUGCUGGUUAUUAUAUAUCUUGAUUCUGGUUAUUAUAUAUCCUGAUGCUGGUUAUUAUAUAUCUUGAUUCUGGUUAUUAUAUAUCCUGAUGCUGGUUAUCAUAUAUCCUGAUGCUGGUUAUUAUAUAUCCUGAUGCUGUUUAUUAUAUAUACUGAUGCUGUUUAUUAUAUAUCCUGAUGCUGGUUAUUAUAUAUCCUGAUUCUGGUUAUUAUAUAUCCUGAUGCUGGUUAUUAUAUAUCCUGAUGCCUAGUCACCUUAACACUAUCCAUAUCUACCUCUAUCACUCCAGUCUCCCUGCACAUUGUAUGGUACUGGAACUGACCCUGUAUAUAGCUUACUUACUUUAUUGUGUUCUUAUUUUUAUUUGUUGUGAGUUAUUGUGCUACAUUGUUAUUUUAAAUUGGUUUUAUUUAACUUUUAUUGAUUACUGUAUUGCUGGGUUUAACACUUGCAAGAAAUGCGUUUCACUGUACUUGUGCACGUGACAUUAAAGCGUGAAACUUGAAGCAAACCACCUUUAAUUAAUACAGUAAGCGAAACACGUUUUUCUUAUUGCCGAACUGUACCAUUGAUGGCCACUAGAUGGCAAUGGAGCGUCACAUAAAAUGGAUGGGCCUUUUUUUUCACUCUGUUGAUCCUGUGUAGACUGGCCUAGUAGGCGCCACCCUGUGGAACAUUACUGUGGGAGAUAUGAAACAAGUAGGUUGAAUCUGUAUAUCAGAUAUUCUUGCUUCAGUAAUGCUAUUUAAAGUGUACCUGGUAUUUUCCAUUUGCUUUAAACCCAACAUUUGACAAACACACCCACAAACAGACACCUGUGGGGUUGGAAGAUCAAAUGGGGUGCAGGAGAU
RNAcentral lists this long non-coding RNA (1994 nucleotides) under Salmo salar (Atlantic salmon). Its description in RNAcentral is "lncRNA (ENSSSAG00000113208.1)". Lineage: Eukaryota; Metazoa; Chordata; Actinopteri; Salmoniformes; Salmonidae. The record is from RNAcentral.